UAGAGUUUGAUCAUGGCUCAGAUUGAACGCUGGCGGCAGGCCUAACACAUGCAAGUCGAGCGGUAGAGAGAAGCUUGCUUCUCUUGAGAGCGGCGGACGGGUGAGUAAUGCCUAGGAAUCUGCCUGGUAGUGGGGGAUAACGUCCGGAAACGGACGCUAAUACCGCAUACGUCCUACGGGAGAAAGCAGGGGACCUUCGGGCCUUGCGCUAUCAGAUGAGCCUAGGUCGGAUUAGCUAGUUGGUGGGGUAAUGGCUCACCAAGGCGACGAUCCGUAACUGGUCUGAGAGGAUGAUCAGUCACACUGGAACUGAGACACGGUCCAGACUCCUACGGGAGGCAGCAGUGGGGAAUAUUGGACAAUGGGCGAAAGCCUGAUCCAGCCAUGCCGCGUGUGUGAAGAAGGUCUUCGGAUUGUAAAGCACUUUAAGUUGGGAGGAAGGGCAGUUACCUAAUACGUGAUUGUUUUGACGUUACCGACAGAAUAAGCACCGGCUAACUCUGUGCCAGCAGCCGCGGUAAUACAGAGGGUGCAAGCGUUAAUCGGAAUUACUGGGCGUAAAGCGCGCGUAGGUGGUUCGUUAAGUUGGAUGUGAAAUCCCCGGGCUCAACCUGGGAACUGCAUUCAAAACUGACGAGCUAGAGUAUGGUAGAGGGUGGUGGAAUUUCCUGUGUAGCGGUGAAAUGCGUAGAUAUAGGAAGGAACACCAGUGGCGAAGGCGACCACCUGGACUGAUACUGACACUGAGGUGCGAAAGCGUGGGGAGCAAAC
RNAcentral lists this ribosomal RNA (771 nucleotides) under uncultured bacterium. RNAcentral describes it as "bacterial SSU rRNA". It matches the Rfam family "Bacterial small subunit ribosomal RNA", at positions 1 to 773 of the family's 1533-position model. The record is from RNAcentral.